RNAcentral lists this long non-coding RNA (1044 nucleotides) under Sus scrofa (pig). Its description in RNAcentral is "lncRNA (ENSSSCG00070028794.1)". The record is from RNAcentral. Lineage: Eukaryota; Metazoa; Chordata; Mammalia; Artiodactyla; Suidae.
AUGGAGGCCGCCCGCCCGGUCGCCCUGGGGCACUGCCCUGCCACCCCGGCCAGGUCUCAGCUGGGGGCACCGUCCAGACUGGUCCGCCCAUCGGGUCCGCCAGCACAGCGUGGGGAGAGGGAGGGCCCCCCUCUGAGCCCUGGCCUCCUUGGCCGCGUCGCACCAUACUGCCCUCAAGCCUCGUUUGCCCCAUUUCACAGAUGGAGAAACGGAGGCCCAGAGAGGUCAAGAGACCUGCCCGGGUCACACAGGAAGUGUGCCCCCACCGCCAGGCCGCUCCCCGCCCCAGCUGGCAGGCACCCUCCCAGGCUGGGCUCCCGCGCGGUCCACUGUCGACAUUACAGCCGCUUCAGGAAAGACAGUAGGUUGUAUAGUUAUUCCACAGCCGGGCGGAGCCCCAACUAUACAACCUACUACCUCACCCCAAAGGGCCGCCAGUCUCGGCGCCUGGAGAGACGUCGUGGCUUCCGAAGGCACCUCCUGGCGGGGGGGGGGAGGAGAAGAGCUGGGGGCCGGGAUGCUAAGGGCUUGGCUCAGGCAGGCGGCCAGCAGAGGGCCAGGGGGGAGCCCCACGGGGAAGACCACCCAGCAGGGAGGGAAGAGAGGCGGGGGGGGGGCAGACGUGCGACGUGGCCUUUGGGGAAGCGACACAAGCAGUGGGAUCACUCCCAUCUGCACGGGGGGGGCCAAGACGGCCCCAAGGUGACACUGGGGGACGUCAUUUGCUGCAGGCCAAUUUGUGUCCCAAAGGGGCUCCAGUGCCCGCCUGGCCCUGCCCGCUGGCAGCAGCCUCCCCCGGUUCCUGGUGGCCCGGGAUGCACCUGUGCCCCAGGUGCAGCUCCCUCCCCCGCUGGACAGUGGGGCCUCCCUGCCCGUGGGCCUGGCCCUGCCAUCCAGGGUGACCCGGGCUUCUCCCCACAUCAGGACAGGCUGGAGUGCUGUUCUUUCCUCCCCAAAGGGACCCCGGCUCCCAGGAAAGGGUGGCUGGGCCGGAACUGCAGCCCCUCGGGGGACAGACACACGCGGCCCAGGGCCCGUGCCUGA